This 2774-nucleotide ribosomal RNA is filed under the name Escherichia coli. RNAcentral describes it as "bacterial LSU rRNA". It matches the Rfam family "Bacterial large subunit ribosomal RNA". The record is from RNAcentral. Lineage: Bacteria; Pseudomonadati; Pseudomonadota; Gammaproteobacteria; Enterobacterales; Enterobacteriaceae.
AGCGUACACGGUGGAUGCCCUGGCAGUCAGAGGCGAUGAAGGACGUGCUAAUCUGCGAUAAGCGUCGGUAAGGUGAUAUGAACCGUUAUAACCGGCGAUUUCCGAAUGGGGAAACCCAGUGUGUUUCGACACACUAUCAUUAACUGAAUCCAUAGGUUAAUGAGGCGAACCGGGGGAACUGAAACAUCUAAGUACCCCGAGGAAAAGAAAUCAACCGAGAUUCCCCCAGUAGCGGCGAGCGAACGGGGAGCAGCCCAGAGCCUGAAUCAGUGUGUGUGUUAGUGGAAGCGUCUGGAAAGGCGCGCGAUACAGGGUGACAGCCCCGUACACAAAAAUGCACAUGCUGUGAGCUCGAUGAGUAGGGCGGGACACGUGGUAUCCUGUCUGAAUAUGGGGGGACCAUCCUCCAAGGCUAAAUACUCCUGACUGACCGAUAGUGAACCAGUACCGUGAGGGAAAGGCGAAAAGAACCCCGGCGAGGGGAGUGAAAAAGAACCUGAAACCGUGUACGUACAAGCAGUGGGAGCACGCUUAGGCGUGUGACUGCGUACCUUUUGUAUAAUGGGUCAGCGACUUAUAUUCUGUAGCAAGGUUAACCGAAUAGGGGAGCCGAAGGGAAACCGAGUCUUAACUGGGCGUUAAGUUGCAGGGUAUAGACCCGAAACCCGGUGAUCUAGCCAUGGGCAGGUUGAAGGUUGGGUAACACUAACUGGAGGACCGAACCGACUAAUGUUGAAAAAUUAGCGGAUGACUUGUGGCUGGGGGUGAAAGGCCAAUCAAACCGGGAGAUAGCUGGUUCUCCCCGAAAGCUAUUUAGGUAGCGCCUCGUGAAUUCAUCUCCGGGGGUAGAGCACUGUUUCGGCAAGGGGGUCAUCCCGACUUACCAACCCGAUGCAAACUGCGAAUACCGGAGAAUGUUAUCACGGGAGACACACGGCGGGUGCUAACGUCCGUCGUGAAGAGGGAAACAACCCAGACCGCCAGCUAAGGUCCCAAAGUCAUGGUUAAGUGGGAAACGAUGUGGGAAGGCCCAGACAGCCAGGAUGUUGGCUUAGAAGCAGCCAUCAUUUAAAGAAAGCGUAAUAGCUCACUGGUCGAGUCGGCCUGCGCGGAAGAUGUAACGGGGCUAAACCAUGCACCGAAGCUGCGGCAGCGACACUAUGUGUUGUUGGGUAGGGGAGCGUUCUGUAAGCCUGUGAAGGUGUGCUGUGAGGCAUGCUGGAGGUAUCAGAAGUGCGAAUGCUGACAUAAGUAACGAUAAAGCGGGUGAAAAGCCCGCUCGCCGGAAGACCAAGGGUUCCUGUCCAACGUUAAUCGGGGCAGGGUGAGUCGACCCCUAAGGCGAGGCCGAAAGGCGUAGUCGAUGGGAAACAGGUUAAUAUUCCUGUACUUGGUGUUACUGCGAAGGGGGGACGGAGAAGGCUAUGUUGGCCGGGCGACGGUUGUCCCGGUUUAAGCGUGUAGGCUGGUUUUCCAGGCAAAUCCGGAAAAUCAAGGCUGAGGCGUGAUGACGAGGCACUACGGUGCUGAAGCAACAAAUGCCCUGCUUCCAGGAAAAGCCUCUAAGCAUCAGGUAACAUCAAAUCGUACCCCAAACCGACACAGGUGGUCAGGUAGAGAAUACCAAGGCGCUUGAGAGAACUCGGGUGAAGGAACUAGGCAAAAUGGUGCCGUAACUUCGGGAGAAGGCACGCUGAUAUGUAGGUGAAGUCCCUCGCGGAUGGAGCUGAAAUCAGUCGAAGAUACCAGCUGGCUGCAACUGUUUAUUAAAAACACAGCACUGUGCAAACACGAAAGUGGACGUAUACGGUGUGACGCCUGCCCGGUGCCGGAAGGUUAAUUGAUGGGGUUAGCCGCAAGGCGAAGCUCUUGAUCGAAGCCCCGGUAAACGGCGGCCGUAACUAUAACGGUCCUAAGGUAGCGAAAUUCCUUGUCGGGUAAGUUCCGACCUGCACGAAUGGCGUAAUGAUGGCCAGGCUGUCUCCACCCGAGACUCAGUGAAAUUGAACUCGCUGUGAAGAUGCAGUGUACCCGCGGCAAGACGGAAAGACCCCGUGAACCUUUACUAUAGCUUGACACUGAACAUUGAGCCUUGAUGUGUAGGAUAGGUGGGAGGCUUUGAAGUGUGGACGCCAGUCUGCAUGGAGCCGACCUUGAAAUACCACCCUUUAAUGUUUGAUGUUCUAACGUUGACCCGUAAUCCGGGUUGCGGACAGUGUCUGGUGGGUAGUUUGACUGGGGCGGUCUCCUCCUAAAGAGUAACGGAGGAGCACGAAGGUUGGCUAAUCCUGGUCGGACAUCAGGAGGUUAGUGCAAUGGCAUAAGCCAGCUUGACUGCGAGCGUGACGGCGCGAGCAGGUGCGAAAGCAGGUCAUAGUGAUCCGGUGGUUCUGAAUGGAAGGGCCAUCGCUCAACGGAUAAAAGGUACUCCGGGGAUAACAGGCUGAUACCGCCCAAGAGUUCAUAUCGACGGCGGUGUUUGGCACCUCGAUGUCGGCUCAUCACAUCCUGGGGCUGAAGUAGGUCCCAAGGGUAUGGCUGUUCGCCAUUUAAAGUGGUACGCGAGCUGGGUUUAGAACGUCGUGAGACAGUUCGGUCCCUAUCUGCCGUGGGCGCUGGAGAACUGAGGGGGGCUGCUCCUAGUACGAGAGGACCGGAGUGGACGCAUCACUGGUGUUCGGGUUGUCAUGCCAAUGGCACUGCCCGGUAGCUAAAUGCGGAAGAGAUAAGUGCUGAAAGCAUCUAAGCACGAAACUUGCCCCGAGAUGAGUUCU